RNAcentral lists this ribosomal RNA (779 nucleotides) under uncultured Neocallimastigales. RNAcentral describes it as "partial large subunit ribosomal RNA". It matches the Rfam family "Eukaryotic large subunit ribosomal RNA", at positions 24 to 643 of the family's 3401-position model. The record is from RNAcentral. Lineage: Eukaryota; Fungi; Neocallimastigomycota; Neocallimastigomycetes; Neocallimastigales.
UUAUCUCUGUAGAGUCUGCAUAUCAAUAAGCGGAGGAAAAGAAACUAACUAGGAUUCCCUUAGUAACGGCGAGUGAAGCGGGAAGAGCUCAAAUUUGAAAUCUUCAAGGUUCUACCUUGACGAAUUGUAGUUUAAAGAAGUGUUUUCUGUUAGAUGAGUUAGGCUAAAAGUUCCUUGGAAUAGGGACAUCAUAGAGGGUGAGAAUCCCGUAUUUGACUUAUUCAUUCUAGCUUUGUGAUACACUUUCAAAGAGUCGGAUUGUUUGGGAAUGCAGUCCAAAAUGGGUGGUAAAUUUCAUCUAAAGCUAAAUAUUGGCGAGAGACCGAUAGCGAACAAGUACCGUGAGGGAAAGAUGAAAAGAACUUUGAAAAGAGAGUUAAACAGUACGUGAAAUUGUCAAAAGGGAAGCGUUUGACACCAGUGUUGUUUUUCCGAAAAUCAAUUACGAAUGGCUUGAUUCUGUGUUGUAUUGACCUUAUCAGCUUUCUUCACUUUUUUCGAGUCUUUCUUAAUGCACUUUUCGGUUAACAAGUCAACAUCAAUUUCUUUUGUUGUAAAAGAGUAUUCGGAAGGUGGCUUUCUUUUCGGAGAAAGUGUUUAUAGCCCUAUACUUCUACAAUCGGAGAGAUUGAGGUCUGCAGCGUAGAUCCUUCGGGGUUAGAUACAUUUGUGCUAAGUUAUAGCUUUCAUAGACAACUUGUUGACUAUGAUUAGUCAUGUCGCUUACUCGCUUAUGCUAUUUUACCUACGCUUAGGAUGUUGAAGAUGUAGCACAUCAU